UGGGGAAUAUUGCACAAUGGGCGCAAGCCUGAUGCAGCCAUGCCGCGUGUGUGAAGAAGGUUUUCGGAUCGUAAAACUCUGUUGUUAGAGAAGAACAAGGACGUUAGUAACUGAACGUCCCCUGACGGUAUCUAACCAGAAAGCCACGGCUAACUACGUGCCAGCAGCCGCGGUAAUACGUAGGUGGCAAGCGUUGUCCGGAUUUAUUGGGCGUAAAGCGAGCGCAGGCGGUUUCUUAAGUCUGAUGUGAAAGCCCCGGCUCAACCGGGGAGGGUCAUUGGAAACUGGGAGACUUGAGUGCAGAAGAGGAGAGUGGAAUUCCAUGUGUAGCGGUGAAAUGCGUAGAUAUAUGGAGGAACACCAGUGGCGAAGGCGGCUCUCUGGUCUGUAACUGACGCUGAGGCUCGAAAGCGUGGGGAGCAAACAGG
This 428-nucleotide ribosomal RNA is filed under the name Chloroflexota bacterium. RNAcentral's name for it is "Chloroflexi bacterium partial 16S ribosomal RNA". It matches the Rfam family "Bacterial small subunit ribosomal RNA", at positions 355 to 776 of the family's 1533-position model. The record is from RNAcentral. Lineage: Bacteria; Bacillati; Chloroflexota.